Molecule: ribosomal RNA, 497 nt
Filed under: uncultured bacterium
Lineage: Bacteria
Description: partial 16S ribosomal RNA
Rfam family: Bacterial small subunit ribosomal RNA
Source: RNAcentral
GAUGAACGCUGGCGGCGUGCCUAAUACAUGCAAGUCGAGCGAACAGACGAGGAGCUUGCUCCUCUGACGUUAGCGGCGGACGGGUGAGUAACACGUGGAUAACCUACCUAUAAGACUGGGAUAACUUCGGGAAACCGGCGCUAAUACCGGAUAAUAUAUUGAACCGCAUGGUUCAAUAGUGAAAGACGGUUUUGCUGUCACUUAUAGAUGGAUCAGCGCCGCAUUAGCUAGUUGGUAAGGUAAUGGCUUACCAAGGCGACGAUGCGUAGCCGACCUGAGAGGGUGAUCGGCCACACUGGAACUGAGAAACGGUCCAGACUCCGACGGGAGGCAGCAGUAGGGAAUCUUCCGCAAUGGGCGAAAGCCUGACGGAGCAACGCCGCGUGAGUGAUGAAGGUCUUCGGAUCGUAAAACUCUGUUAUUAGGGAAGAACAAAUGUGUAAGUAACUAUGCACGUCUUGACGGUACCUAAUCAGAAAGCCACGGCUAACUACGUG